Molecule: ribosomal RNA, 120 nt
Filed under: uncultured bacterium
Lineage: Bacteria
Description: partial 16S ribosomal RNA
Rfam family: Bacterial small subunit ribosomal RNA
Source: RNAcentral
CACGCCGUAAACGAUGAGAACUAGGUGUUGGGGGAAUAACUCAGUGCCGCAGUUAACGCAGUAAGUUCUCCGCCUGGGGAGUAUGCACGCAAGUGUGAAACUCAAAGGAAUUGACGGGGG